RNAcentral lists this long non-coding RNA (1071 nucleotides) under Papio anubis (olive baboon). Its description in RNAcentral is "lncRNA (ENSPANG00000042188.1)". Lineage: Eukaryota; Metazoa; Chordata; Mammalia; Primates; Cercopithecidae. The record is from RNAcentral.
GCGAGGCACAUUUCCGAACAGUUCCCAGACGCACCCCCUCUUCCCCCCUCACCCUCCCCUCCGGCAGCCUCUCCCAUGGCUACUGCUGCUGGCUGGGACUUGGGCCCAGCCUGAGGCUUCAACCAGAGCCCUGUCCUUGAGCAGACUCACCUCAUCUUUCAGUCCUGCAGCUGGGCUGAGCGGGGAGUGGUCAGCUCAGAAGACACUGGCCUGGGGAUGAGAUACGGGGAAUGCUUCAGAGAGAAGAAAGAGCUUGUGAACAGGCAAUGCUGGUCUUAAAGGUGGCAUCUUGGUGCUUUCUCAUGCCUUGUUUUCUUUCAUCCUCAGAAUAUGGCUGAGGGUGAGGGGACGGGUGUGACUGCCAAAACUUCCUUUCUUGGUGAUUCCACAACACCCCUUUCUGAUCCCUGAGCCUGUGCCAUGCCCGGUGUGAUGUGCCGGGGACACCAGGGUGAAUACUUACAGUCCCUGUCCCCCUUCCUUCGCGGAACAGCCUCCUUUAGGGUGAGUCACUGGGCACUGGGGCCUCCCUGGUCUUCCAGGAUUGCAACUUCACAGAAUCCCUUUUCCAUAAGGCACAGGGAAGGGACUGUCACCCGCAACGGGAGCCUUGACAACCAGCCAAAUCAGAACACAGACCUUGAUGUCGGACGGCCCGGAGUUCAAAUCCUGCCUUGCUCUCUUUCAGCUGGAAAGCUGUGGUCCAAUUACUUAGCCUCUCCAAGCUGGUUUUCCCUUCUGCAAAAUGAGGAAGUACAAGCUGCCACCUCACAGAAUGACUCUCACCCACGCCUCCCCAAGCCUCCCGACAGAAGACAGAGGUCCCCCACAGCCCAGAGACAUUUCCUGAAGACAUGGGGAGCACAGAGGCGGAAACAGCCCAUCCACCCAGGAGCGGCCCCCAACGCUGCCGGCAGCCAGCACCCGGAGCCAUCAGGUAAAACUGAGGCCACCUGGCUCAACAUUGCUUUUCACAGAAGGGGAAACAGCCACAGAGAGAAGGGCCUGGUAAGAAGUGCAACCUGGGACCCCCAAGCGGUGGCUCUCAUCCUGACCGGGGAUCCAGAGUAG